RNAcentral lists this ribosomal RNA (550 nucleotides) under uncultured bacterium. Its description in RNAcentral is "bacterial SSU rRNA". It matches the Rfam family "Bacterial small subunit ribosomal RNA", at positions 355 to 896 of the family's 1533-position model. The record is from RNAcentral.
UAGGGAAUCUUCCACAAUGGACGCAAGUCUGAUGGAGCAACGCCGCGUGAGUGAAGAAGGGUUUCGGCUCGUAAAGCUCUGUUGGUAGUGAAGAAAGAUAGAGGUAGUAACUGGCCUUUAUUUGACGGUAAUUACUUAGAAAGUCACGGCCAACUACGUGCCAACAGCCGCGGUAAUACGUAGGUGGCAAGCGUUGUCCGGAUUUAUUGGGCGUAAAGCGAGUGCAGGCGGUUCAAUAAGUCUGAUGUGAAAGCCUUCGGCUCAACCGGAGAAUUGCAUCAGAAACUGUUGAACUUGAGUGCAGAAGAGGAGAGUGGAACUCCAUGUGUAGCGGUGGAAUGCGUAGAUAUAUGGAAGAACACCAGUGGCGAAGGCGGCUCUCUGGUCUGCAACUGACGCUGAGGCUCGAAAGCAUGGGUAGCGAACAGGAUUAGAUACCCUGGUAGUCCAUGCCGUAAACGAUGAGUGCUAAGUGUUGGGAGGUUUCCGCCUCUCAGUGCUGCAGCUAACGCAUUAAGCACUCCGCCUGGGGAGUACGACCGCAAGGUUG